GACAGAGGAUGCAAGCGUUAUCCGGAAUGAUUGGGCGUAAAGGGUGCGUAGGCGGCAAAUCAAGUUAGAUGCGAAAUACCUGGGCUCAACCCAGGAACUGCAUUUAAUACUGCUUUGCUCGAGUAUUAGAGAAGAAGCUGGAAUUUACGGUGUAGCAGUGAAAUGCGUAGAUAUCGUAAAGAACGUCAGUGGCGAAAGCGAGCUUCUAGAUAAUUACUGACGCUGAGGCACGAAAGCUAGGGGAGCAAACGGG
This 253-nucleotide ribosomal RNA is filed under the name uncultured bacterium. RNAcentral describes it as "partial 16S ribosomal RNA". It matches the Rfam family "Bacterial small subunit ribosomal RNA", at positions 524 to 776 of the family's 1533-position model. The record is from RNAcentral.